GGUUUUUCAUACUAGGAUGAUUGAUCGGCACUGUAAGAAAAUCUUUCUAUUGAUUUAUAAAACUGAGAGUAUACUGGAUAGGAACAUCAAAUUUACUGGACAACAGGCGAAACACAGACCAAUCAAAGAGUUAUUGCAAGGGUUUUUAAGUUGCAAAGAUUGUGUGUUGUGCUCUUCCUCAACGAGGCAUCUGCUUUUACAUCCCCCAAUUCUGAUCGUACGUACUUGUACAUCAUGCACAGCCA
This 245-nucleotide long non-coding RNA is filed under the name Mytilus galloprovincialis (Mediterranean mussel). Lineage: Eukaryota; Metazoa; Mollusca; Bivalvia; Mytilida; Mytilidae. The record is from RNAcentral.